CCUACGGGGGGCAGCAGUAGGGAAUCUUCCACAAUGGGCGAAAGCCUGACGGAGCAACGCCGCGUGGGUGAAGAAGGUCUUCGGAUCGUAAAACUCUGUUGUUAGAGAAGAAAGUGCGUGAGAGUAACUGUUCACGUUUCGACGGUAUCUAACUAGAAACCAACGGCUAACUACGUGCCAGCAGCCGCGGUAAUACGUAGGUGGCAAGCGUUAUCCGGAUUUAUUGGGCGUAAAGUGAGUGUUGGCGGACUUUUAAGUUUGCUGUGAAAGCCGUCGGCUUAACCGGAGUAGUGCAUUGGAAACUGGGAGACUUGAGUGCAGAAGAGGAGAGUGGAACUCCAUGUGUAGCGGUGAAAUGCGUAGAUAUAUGGAAGAACACCAGUGGCGAAGGCGGCUCUCUGGUCUGUAACUGACGCUGAGGUUCGAAAGCGUGGGUAGCAAACAGGAUUAGAUACCCGAGUAGUC
RNAcentral lists this ribosomal RNA (465 nucleotides) under uncultured bacterium. RNAcentral describes it as "partial 16S ribosomal RNA". It matches the Rfam family "Bacterial small subunit ribosomal RNA", at positions 338 to 795 of the family's 1533-position model. The record is from RNAcentral.